Molecule: ribosomal RNA, 1007 nt
Filed under: Salinicoccus roseus
Lineage: Bacteria; Bacillati; Bacillota; Bacilli; Caryophanales; Staphylococcaceae
Description: bacterial SSU rRNA
Rfam family: Bacterial small subunit ribosomal RNA
Source: RNAcentral
CUGCCUAAUACAUGCAAGUCGAACGCGCGGAUCAGGAGCUUGCUCCUGUGACGCGAGUGGCGGACGGGUGAGUAACACGUAGGCAACCUGCCCAUCAGACUGGGAUAACCACGGGAAACCGUGGCUAAUACCGGAUAAUCCUUUUCCACACAGGUGGGAAAGUUGAAAGGCGGUCUUUUGGCUGUCACUGAUGGAUGGGCCUGCGGCGCAUUAUCUGGUUGGUGGGGUAACGGCCCACCAAGGCGACGAUGCGUACCCGACCUGAGAGGGUGAUCGGCCACACUGGGACUGAGACACGGCCCAGACUCCUACGGGAGGCAGCAGUAGGGAAUCUUCCGCAAUGGACGAAAGUCUGACGGAGCAACGCCGCGUGAGUGAAGAAGGGUUUCGGCUCGUAAAACUCUGUUGUCAGGGAAGAACGCCGACGGGAGUAACUGCCCGUCGGGUGACGGUACCUGACCAGAAAGCCACGGCUAACUACGUGCCAGCAGCCGCGGUAAUACGUAGGUGGCAAGCGUUAUCCGGAAUUAUUGGGCGUAAAGCGCGCGUAGGCGGUUCGUUAAGUCUGAUGUGAAAGCCCCCGGCUCAACCGGGGAGGGUCAUUGGAAACUGGCGGACUUGAGUGCAGAAGAGGAGAGUGGAAUUCCAUGUGUAGCGGUGAAAUGCGCAGAGAUAUGGAGGAACACCAGUGGCGAAGGCGGCUCUCUGGUCUGCAACUGACGCUGAGGUGCGAAAGCGUGGGGAUCAAACAGGAUUAGAUACCCUGGUAGUCCACGCCGUAAACGAUGAGUGCUAAGUGUUAGGGGGGUUUCCGCCCCUUAGUGCUGCAGCUAACGCAUUAAGCACUCCGCCUGGGGAGUACGGCCGCAAGGUUGAAACUCAAAGGAAUUGACGGAGACCCGCACAAGCGGUGGAGCAUGUGGUUUAUUUCGAAGCAACGCGAAGACUCUUACCAAAUCUUGACAUCCUCUGACCACCCUGGAGACAGGGUUUCCUCUUCGGGACAG